UUCUCGCCAGACGAACGCUGGCGGCGUGCCUAAUACAUGCAAGUCUGGUAAUGAUUGGUGCUUGCAUCAUGAAUUACAUUUGAGUGAGUGGCGAACUGGUGAGUAACACGUGGGAAACCUGCCCAGAAGCGGGGGAUAACACCUGGAAACAGAUGCUAAUACCGCAUAACAACUUGGACCGCAUGGUCCGAGUUUGAAAGAUGGCUUCGGCUAUCACUUUUGGAUGGUCCCGCGGCGUAUUAGCUAGAUGGUGAGGUAACGGCUCACCAUGGCAAUGAUACGUAGCCGACCUGAGAGGGUAAUCGGCCACAUUGGGACUGAGACACGGCCCAAACUCCUACGGGAGGCAGCAGUAGGGAAUCUUCCACAAUGGACGAAAGUCUGAUGGAGCAACGCCGCGUGAGUGAAGAAGGGUUUCGGCUCGUAAAACUCUGUUGUUAAAGAAGAACAUAUCUGAGAGUAACUGUUCAGGUAUUGACGGUAUUUAACCAGAAAGCCACGGCUAACUACGUGCCAGCAGCCGCGGUAAUACGUAGGUGGCAAGCGUUGUCCGGAUUUAUUGGGCGUAAAGCGAGCGCAGGCGGUUUUUUAAGUCUGAUGUGAAAGCCUUCGGCUCAACCGAAGAAGUGCAUCGGAAACUGGGAAACUUGAGUGCAGAAGAGGACAGUGGAACUCCAUGUGUAGCGGUGAAAUGCGUAGAUAUAUGGAAGAACACCAGUGGCGAAGGCGGCUGUCUGGUCUGUAACUGACGCUGAGGCUCGAAAGUAUGGGUAGCAAACAGGAUUAGAUACCCUGGUAGUCCAUACCGUAAACGAUGAAUGCUA
RNAcentral lists this ribosomal RNA (824 nucleotides) under Lactiplantibacillus plantarum. RNAcentral describes it as "bacterial SSU rRNA". It matches the Rfam family "Bacterial small subunit ribosomal RNA", at positions 19 to 818 of the family's 1533-position model. The record is from RNAcentral. Lineage: Bacteria; Bacillati; Bacillota; Bacilli; Lactobacillales; Lactobacillaceae.